GACGAACGCUGGCGGCGUGCUUAACACAUGCAAGUCGAACGAUGAAGUUCCUUCGGGAAUGGAUUAGUGGCGAACGGGUGAGGAACACGUGAGAAACCUGCCUUUCAUUUUGGGAUAACUCCGGGAAACCGGGGCUAACACCGAAUACUCCGUCUCGGCGGCAUCGCUGAGCCGGGAAAAAAUUUCGAUGAAAGAUUGUCUCGCGGCCUAUCAGCGAGUUGGUGAGGUAAUGGCUCACCAAGGCAACGACGGGUAGCCGGCCUGAGAGGGCGACCGGCCACACUGGGACUGAGACACGGCCCAGACUCCUACGGGAGGCAGCAGUGGGGAAUAUUGGGCAAUGGGCGCAAGCCUGACCCAGCGACGCCGCGUGAGGGAUGAAGGCCUUCGGGUUGUAAACCUCUUUCAGUAGGGAAGAAGCGAAAGUGACGGUACCUAAAGAAGAAGCACCGGCUAACUAUGUGCCAGCCGCCGCAGUAA
This 480-nucleotide ribosomal RNA is filed under the name uncultured bacterium. RNAcentral's name for it is "partial 16S ribosomal RNA". It matches the Rfam family "Bacterial small subunit ribosomal RNA", at positions 28 to 523 of the family's 1533-position model. The record is from RNAcentral.